Molecule: ribosomal RNA, 253 nt
Filed under: uncultured bacterium
Lineage: Bacteria
Also listed under: 3 other names
Description: partial 16S ribosomal RNA
Rfam family: Bacterial small subunit ribosomal RNA
Source: RNAcentral
UACGUAGGUGGCAAGCGUUGUCCGGAAUUAUUGGGCGUAAAGCGCGCGCAGGCGGUCCUUUAAGUCUGAUGUGAAAGCCCACGGCUCAACCGUGGAGGGUCAUUGGAAACUGGGGGACUUGAGUACAGAAGAGGAAAGCGGAAUUCCACGUGUAGCGGUGAAAUGCGUAGAGAUGUGGAGGAACACCAGUGGCGAAGGCGGCUUUCUGGUCUGUAACUGACGCUGAGGCGCGAAAGCGUGGGGAGCAAACAGG